GAGCUCGUAGGCGGUUUGUCACGUCUGCUGUGAAAACCCGAGGCUCAACCUCGGGCUUGCAGUGGGUACGGGCAGACUAGAGUGCGGUAGGGGAGAUUGGAAUUCCUGGUGUAGCGGUGGAAUGCGCAGAUAUCAGGAGGAACACCGAUGGCGAAGGCAGAUCUCUGGGCCGUAACUGACGCUGAGGAGCGAAAGCAUGGGGAGCAAACAGGCUUAGAUACCCUGGUAGUCCAUGCCGUAAACGUUGGGAACUAGAUGUGGGGACCAUUCCACGGUCUCCGUGUCGUAGCUAACGCAUUAAGU
This 303-nucleotide ribosomal RNA is filed under the name Agrococcus sp. Its description in RNAcentral is "bacterial SSU rRNA". It matches the Rfam family "Bacterial small subunit ribosomal RNA", at positions 565 to 865 of the family's 1533-position model. Lineage: Bacteria; Bacillati; Actinomycetota; Actinomycetes; Micrococcales; Microbacteriaceae. The record is from RNAcentral.